RNAcentral lists this ribosomal RNA (467 nucleotides) under Salmonella enterica. RNAcentral's name for it is "bacterial SSU rRNA". It matches the Rfam family "Bacterial small subunit ribosomal RNA", at positions 1 to 464 of the family's 1533-position model. The record is from RNAcentral. Lineage: Bacteria; Pseudomonadati; Pseudomonadota; Gammaproteobacteria; Enterobacterales; Enterobacteriaceae.
AAAUUGAAGAGUUUGAUCAUGGCUCAGAUUGAACGCUGGCGGCAGGCCUAACACAUGCAAGUCGAACGGUAACAGGAAGCAGCUUGCUGCUUUGCUGACGAGUGGCGGACGGGUGAGUAAUGUCUGGGAAACUGCCUGAUGGAGGGGGAUAACUACUGGAAACGGUGGCUAAUACCGCAUAACGUCGCAAGACCAAAGAGGGGGACCUUCGGGCCUCUUGCCAUCAGAUGUGCCCAGAUGGGAUUAGCUUGUUGGUGAGGUAACGGCUCACCAAGGCGACGAUCCCUAGCUGGUCUGAGAGGAUGACCAGCCACACUGGAACUGAGACACGGUCCAGACUCCUACGGGAGGCAGCAGUGGGGAAUAUUGCACAAUGGGCGCAAGCCUGAUGCAGCCAUGCCGCGUGUAUGAAGAAGGCCUUCGGGUUGUAAAGUACUUUCAGCGGGGAGGAAGGUGUUGUGGUUAAU